AUUUUACUCAUUUUAAUAAUGUACAAUCUUAAGAGAUGUUCCCUCUUUUUCCGAGCUCCAAAUUUAAAAAUCUCUUCCAUCCUGCAAACCAAACCCAUAUUCAUUUGAAUCAUUUCCAAUCCGCCUUUCAAUUCCCCGAUCGAGCCGAUCGCUACGUACCUUUCUCACAUCCUUACAGUCAUAUUCCCUCAAAUCCAACAACCCCCGCAAAUCAACGACCUCAAAGCCCGUCCUCCUCAGAGCACCUGGCGAGAGAGAGAGGGAUGGCUCGACGACGAAGAAGCAUGCCCUUUUAUCUCAUUCUUCCGGGCCGUGUAGAUCAAAUGAUGUUUAUAAAUCAGGCACUGUAACUCCAUCCAUUAAUAUGGCUUUCUGUGGUUCGAACUUUCUCGUAGAAGUCUUUUGGCAUCUGCAUGUUGGCUCCAAGGGUGGCUGUGUGGAAACAAGGGAACCACACUCAAAGUGGCGGUGUUAGAAACUGUGGGGCAGGUCCUCGCGUAAAAGAAAGAAAGAAACAGAUCUGUAUAGGUGGUGGGCUCUGGUUCUAUGACGGACAUAUUACAGCUAAAAAACCCACUUGUGCCACUGCCUUAUCCCAGGUUGGGAAGUUCUGCACCGCAUCGUUUAGCAACUGUUGACAUAUUGUAGUCUUGUGAAAAUUGACAGCACAAGCUGUUGGUGACCAAAAGAAGGGGUUGAUCUGAUCUAGUUUGUUCUAAUAAUUAUAUUGGAUUUUGCUUUGCCAUGCAUUGGACUGGAUCGACUUCGGUUGUUGUUCAUGGUCAUCAGUUUUAGCCUUAUCCGGGUUUGAACCAUGUCUCUCAUGGCACGUGGGCGUUUUGGUCGAGUAAUUAUUAGAUACUUUUCAAGUAAAGGUAUGUGAUAUUCUCAUUU
This is a long non-coding RNA of Carya illinoinensis, 894 nucleotides long. RefSeq lists it as uncharacterized. NCBI's taxonomy places the organism in Eukaryota, Viridiplantae, Streptophyta, Magnoliopsida, Fagales, Juglandaceae. The transcript is spliced from 3 exons. The record is from RefSeq and is a predicted model, not a curated record.